AGAGUUUGAUCCUGGCUCAGAGCGAACGCUGGCGGCAGGCUUAACACAUGCAAGUCGAACGGGUACCUUCGGGUGCUAGUGGCAGACGGGUGAGUAACACGUGGGAACGUACCUUUUGGUUCGGAAUAAUACAGGGAAACUUGUACUAAUACCGGAUACGCCCUUCGGGGGAAAGAUUUAUCGCCGAAAGAUCGGCCCGCGUCUGAUUAGCUAGUUGGUGAGGUAAUGGCUCACCAAGGCGACGAUCAGUAGCUGGUCUGAGAGGAUGAUCAGCCACAUUGGGACUGAGACACAGCCCAAACUCCUACGGGAGGCAGCAGUGGGGAAUAUUGGACAAUGGGCGCAAGCCUGAUCCAGCCAUGCCGCGUGUGUGAUGAAGGCCUUAGGGUUGUAAAGCACUUUUGUCCGGGAAGAUAAUGACUGUACCGGAAGAAUAAGCCCCGGCUAACUUCGUG
This 455-nucleotide ribosomal RNA is filed under the name uncultured Allobosea sp. RNAcentral's name for it is "bacterial SSU rRNA". It matches the Rfam family "Bacterial small subunit ribosomal RNA", at positions 8 to 507 of the family's 1533-position model. The record is from RNAcentral. Lineage: Bacteria; Pseudomonadati; Pseudomonadota; Alphaproteobacteria; Hyphomicrobiales; Alloboseaceae.